UCUUGUUACGGCCGCCAUUUUAAUACUCGGGUCGGACCGCGUAGUAGUCAAUCUCUUUCCUUUGCGUCGGUGUGCGCGCGCUUUUUUUUUUUUUUUUUUUGCGCCCCCCCUUUCGGCCCGUUCCCGCUAUGGAGGAGAACACCGACUACGGCAGUAGCAAUAACAACAACAACACAAGCUCGGGCGGCGGUGGCGGCGGCGGCCAGGAAGAGUUCGCCGAAGGCUCGAAGAUCAACGCCAGCAAGAACCAGCAGGAUGACGGUAAAAUGUUCAUUGGUGGUCUGAGCUGGGAUACGAGCAAAAAAGACUUGACGGAGUAUUUGUCUCGCUUUGGUGAAGUGGUGGAUUGCACAAUAAAAACAGAUCCUGUCACAGGGAGGUCAAGAGGGUUUGGGUUUGUGCUUUUCAAAGAUGCUGCCAGUGUUGAGAAGGUCUUGGAAUUGAAAGAACACAAAUUGGAUGGCAAGUUAAUAGAUCCCAAAAGGGCAAAAGCUCUGAAAGGGAAAGAGCCACCCAAAAAGGUGUUUGUUGGUGGACUGAGUCCGGAUACAUCCGAAGAACAAAUCAAGGAGUAUUUUGGUGGUUUUGGAGAGAUUGAGAAUAUAGAGCUUCCCAUGGACACAAAAACAAACGAAAGGAGAGGUUUCUGCUUCAUCACAUACUCGGAUGAAGAACCGGUAAAGAAAUUGCUGGAAAGCAGAUACCAUCAGAUUGGUUCUGGCAAGUGUGAGAUCAAAGUAGCACAGCCCAAAGAUGUAUAUAGGCAGCAGCAACAGCAACAAAAGGGAGGCAGAGGUGCUUCAUCUGGUGGGCGUGGGGGAUCCAGAGGACGUGGCAGGGGUCAAGGCCAAAAUUGGAAUCAAGGGUAUAACAAUUACUAUGAUCAAGGAUAUGGAAGUUACAACAGUCCUUACAGUGAUCAAAGCUACAGCAGCUAUGGGGGAUACGAUUAUUCUGGGUACAAUUACCCAAGUUACGGCUACAGCCAGGGAUAUGCUGACUACAGUGGACAGCAAAGCACAUAUGGAAAGGCAUCCCGAGGUGGCGGUAAUCACCAAAACAACUACCAGCCAUAUUAAAGAAAUACUUGGGAAAAAAAAGCGGGAACUUCCUUGCAGGCCGUGUGUCACCCUGACCACGUCUAUCUCUGGGGGUCGCACGUUGCAGGCAGAGCGCAAGGCAUACACCAGAAAACGCUGUCCUGUGGUAGAGACUACAGCAAAGCCAUCUUGCAGAACUUAAAAAGGACUUGACUGGAGGGUAGUCUUCGUGACAUGAAAUUGUUUUGUAAAAGACUUUUAGUGUAUGACACAGCAGUGUCUAACUGUACAUAGUGACCGGCUAGUUUUCUUUAUGGUUUUUACUUUUUUGUCCUUUUGUCAUCUGUGUUACGAUGCCAAUGUGGUUCUUGUGUUUAUACAAUUUUAUUUGUAUUUCUUGUUGAAUGACUCAAAUAAAAAAACUUACCUUCUGUGACUGUUGCAUUUUGAGGUUGUGCUCUUGGCACUGCUGUAUAGUAGCAGAGGUGAACAGUUUUUGAGACUCCGUCGCCAUGCUUCCGACAGAUGCUGGGACUUGCAGGGUCAGCAGCAAUGGAGUGUGCCGUGAUAUGUACCUGGAUUUAGAAAAUUGCAGUGAGGAGGCUGCAAAGAUAGAAUGAUUUUUCAAGAGUAGUGUCCUGUGUUGUAAUGCCUUAUGAUUUGUUAUAAUUUUGUUAACUGCUGGGAAUCUUCAAUAUAGAAAUGUUAAUAAAUAAAUUUUCAUGCAUUGAAA
This is an RNA transcript of Pantherophis guttatus, 1773 nucleotides long. It is a transcript of the gene named heterogeneous nuclear ribonucleoprotein D like, with no coding region annotated. NCBI's taxonomy places the organism in Eukaryota, Metazoa, Chordata, Lepidosauria, Squamata, Colubridae. The record is from RefSeq and is a predicted model, not a curated record.